CGAGUGAACAUGAUGAUAGUAAUUUGCUGCGAUUUCCCGAAUUCGCCAUGUGGAGAUCCAUCUUGGAGAACUGAACGCUCG
Molecule: small nucleolar RNA, 81 nt
Organism: Rhincodon typus (whale shark)
Lineage: Eukaryota; Metazoa; Chordata; Chondrichthyes; Orectolobiformes; Rhincodontidae
Source: RefSeq, a predicted model, not a curated record